GAUGAACAGAUUGAAUUUGGGCUUUUUAUUCACAUAUAAGCAUUCAUCAACUCGGAAGCUCAAACAUGUUUGCUUGAUGUGCGAGAACCAAUGAGGUUCAUUCUCGUGUUACGCAGCACGUUUGAACUUCCUUAAGAACCAAUGAGGUUCAUUCUCGUGUUACGCAGCACGUUUGAGCUUCAGCGAGAACCAAUGAGGUUCUUUCUCGUGUUACGCAGCACGUUUGAGCUUCAGCAAGAACCAAUGAGGUUCAUUCUCGUGUUACGCAGCACGUUUGAGCUUCAGCGAGAACCAAUGAGGUUCAUUCUCGUGUUACGCAGCACGUUUGAACUUCAGCAAGAACCAAUGAGGUUCAUGCUCGUGUUACGCAGCACGUUUGAACUUCAGCAAGAACCAAUGAGGUUCAUUCUCGUGUUACGCAGCACGUUUGAGCUUCAGCAAGAACCAAUGAGGUUCAUUCUCGUGUUACGCAGCACGUUUGAGCUUCAGCAAGAACCAAUGAGGUUCAUUCUGGUGUUACGCAGCACGUUUGAGCUUCAGCAAGAACCAAUGAAGUUCAUUCUCGUGUUACGCAGCACGUUUGAGCUUCUACAAGAACCAAUGAGGUUCAUUCUCAUGUUACGCAGCACGUUUGAGCUUCUACAAGAACCAAUGAGGUUCAUUCUCGUGUUACGCAGCACGUUUGAGCUUCAGCAAGAACCAAUGAGGUUCAUUCUCGUGUUACGCAGCACGUUUGAGCUUCAGCAAGAACCAAUGAGGUUCAUUCUGGUGUUACGCAGCACGUUUGAGCUUCAGCAAGAACCAAUGAAGUUCAUUCUCGUGUUACGCAGCACAUUUGAGCUUCAGCAAGAACCAAUGAAGUUCAUUCUCGUGUUACGCAGCACGUUUGAGCUUCUGCAAGAACCAAUGAGGUUCAUUCUCGUUACGCAGCACGUUUGAGCUUCAGCAAGAACCAAUGAGGUUCAUUCUCGUGUUAGGCAGCACGUUUGAGCUUCAGCAAGAACCAAUGAGGUUCAUGCUCGUGUUACGCAGCACGUUUGAGCUUCAGCAAGAACCAAUGAGGUUCAUGCUCGUGUUACACAGCACGUUUGAGCUUCAGCGAGAACCAAUGAGGUUCAUUCUCGUUACGCAGCACGUUUGAGCUUCAGCAAGAACCAAUGAGGUUCAUUCUGGUGUUACACAGCACGUUUGAGCUUCAGCAAGAACCAAUGAGGUUCAUUCUGGUGUUACACAGCACGUUUGAGCUUCAGCAAGAACCAAUGAGGUUCAUUCUCGUGUUACGCAGCACGUUUGAGCUUCAGCAAGAACCAAUGAGGUUCAUGCUCGUGUUACGCAGCACGUUUGAGCUUCAGCAAGAACCAAUGAGGUUCAUUCUCGUGUUACGCAGCACGUUUGAGCUUCAGCAAGAACCAAUGAGGUUCAUUCUGGUGUUACGCAGCACGUUUGAGCUUCAGCAAGAACCAAUGAGGUUCAUUCUCGUGUUACGCAGCACGUUUGAGCUUCAGCAAGAACCAAUGAGGUUCAUGCUCGUGUUACACAGCACGUUUGAGCUUCAGCGAGAACCAAUGAGGUUCAUUCUCGUUACGCAGCACGUUUGAGCUUCAGCAAGAACCAAUGAGGUUCAUUCUGGUGUUACACAGCACGUUUGAGCUUCAGCAAGAACCAAUGAGGUUCAUUCUGGUGUUACACAGCACGUUUGAGCUUCAGCAAGAACCAAUGAGGUUCAUUCUCGUGUUACGCAGCACGUUUGAGCUUCAGCAAGAACCAAUGAGGUUCAUGCUCGUGUUACGCAGCACGUUUGAGCUUCAGCAAGAACCAAUGAGGUUCAUUCUCGUGUUACGCAGCACGUUUGAGCUUCAGCAAGAACCAAUGAGGUUCAUUCUGGUGUUACGCAGCACGUUUGAGCUUCAGCAAGAACCAAUGAAGUUCAUUCUCGUGUUACGCAGCACGUUUGAGCUUCUGCAAGAACCAAUGAGGUUCAUUCUCGUUACGCAGCACGUUUGAGCUUCAGCAAGAACCAAUGAGGUUCAUUCUCGUGUUACGCAGCACGUUUGAGCUUCAGCAAGAACCAAUGAGGUUCAUGCUCGUGUUACACAGCACGUUUGAGCUUCAGCGAGAACCAAUGAGGUUCAUUCUCGUUACGCAGCACGUUUGAGCUUCAGCAAGAACCAAUGAGGUUCAUUCUGGUGUUACACAGCACGUUUGAGCUUCAGCAAGAACCAAUGAGGUUCAUUCUGGUGUUACGCAGCACGUUUGAGCUUCAGCAAGAACCAAUGAAGUUCAUUCUCGUGUUACGCAGCACAUUUGAGCUUCAGCAAGAACCAAUGAAGUUCAUUCUCGUGUUACGCAGCACGUUUGAGCUUCUGCAAGAACCAAUGAGGUUCAUUCUCGUUACGCAGCACGUUUGAGCUUCAGCAAGAACCAAUGAGGUUCAUUCUCGUGUUACGCAGCACGUUUGAGCUUCAGCAAGAACCAAUGAGGUUCAUGCUCGUGUUACGCAGCACGUUUGAGCUUCAGCAAGAACCAAUGAGGUUCAUGCUUGUGUUACACAGCACGUUUGAGCUUCAGCGAGAACCAAUGAGGUUCAUUCUCGUUACGCAGCACGUUUGAGCUUCAGCAAGAACCAAUGAGGUUCAUUCUGGUGUUACACAGCACGUUUGAGCUUCAGCAAGAACCAAUGAGGUUCAUUCUGGUGUUACGCAGCACGUUUGAGCUUCAGCAAGAACCAAUGAGGUUCAUUCUGGUGUUACGCAGCACGUUUGAGCUUCAGCAAGAACCAAUGAGGUUCAUUCUGGUGUUACGCAGCACGUUUGAGCUUCAGCAAGAACCAAUGAGGUUCAUUCUCGUGUUACGCAGCACGUUUGAGCUUCAGCAAGAACCAAUGAGGUUCAUGCUCGUGUUACGCAGCACGUUUGAGCUUCAGCAAGAACCAAUGAGGUUCAUGCUCGUGUUACACAGCACGUUUGAGCUUCAGCGAGAACCAAUGAGGUUCAUUCUCGUUACGCAGCACGUUUGAGCUUCAGCAAGAACCAAUGAGGUUCAUUCUGGUGUUACACAGCACGUUUGAGCUUCAGCAAGAACCAAUGAGGUUCAUUCUGGUGUUACGCAGCACGUUUGAGCUUCAGCAAGAACCAAUGAGGUUCAUUCUGGUGUUACGCAGCACGUUUGAGCUUCAGCAAGAACCAAUGAGGUUCAUUCUGGUGUUACGCAGCACGUUUGAGCUUCAGCAAGAACCAAUGAGGUUCAUGCUCGUGUUACGCAGCACGUUUGAGCUUCAGCAAGAACCAAUGAGGUUCAUUCUCGUGUUACGCAGCACGUUUGAGCUUCAGCAAGAACCAAUGAGGUUCAUUCUGGUGUUACGCAGCACGUUUGAGCUUCAGCAAGAACCAAUGAGGUUCAUUCUGGUGUUACGCAGCACGUUUGAGCUUCAGCAAGAACCAAUGAGGUUCAUUCUCGUGUUACGCAGCACGUUUGAGCUUCCUUAAGAACCAAUGAGGUUCAUUCUCGUGUUACGCAGCACGUUUGAGCUUCUGCAAAAACCAAUGAGGUUCAUUCUCGUGUUACGCAGCACGUUUGAGCUUCUGC
Molecule: long non-coding RNA, 3585 nt
Organism: Ctenopharyngodon idella (grass carp)
Lineage: Eukaryota; Metazoa; Chordata; Actinopteri; Cypriniformes; Xenocyprididae
Exons: 3
Source: RefSeq, a predicted model, not a curated record